This 253-nucleotide ribosomal RNA is filed under the name uncultured bacterium. Its description in RNAcentral is "partial 16S ribosomal RNA". It matches the Rfam family "Bacterial small subunit ribosomal RNA", at positions 524 to 776 of the family's 1533-position model. The record is from RNAcentral.
UACGUAGGGUGCAGGCGUUAAUCGGAAUUACUGGGCGUAAAGCGUGCGCAGGCGGUUUGCUAAGACAGGUGUGAAAUCCCCGGGCUUAACCUGGGAACUGCGCUUGUUACUGGCAGGCUUGAGUGUGGCAGAGGGGGGUGGAAUUCCACGUGUAGCAGUGAAAUGCGUAGAGAUGUGGAGGAACACCGAUGGCGAAGGCAGCCCCCUGGGCUAACACUGACGCUCAUGCACGAAAGCGUGGGGAGCAAACCGG